CCUACGGGUGGCUGCAGUGGGGAAUAUUGGACAAUGGGCGAAAGCCUGAUCCAGCCAUGCCGCGUGUGUGAAGAAGGCCUUCGGGUUGUAAAGCACUUUCAGUGGGGAAGAAAGCCUUGGGGCUAAUACCCUCGAGGAAGGACAUCACCCACAGAAGAAGCACCGGCUAACUCCGUGCCAGCAGCCGCGGUAAUACGGAGGGUGCGAGCGUUAAUCGGAAUUACUGGGCGUAAAGCGCGCGUAGGCGGUCUGAUAAGCCGGUUGUGAAAGCCCCGGGCUCAACCUGGGAACGGCAUCCGGAACUGUCAGGCUAGAGUGCAGGAGAGGAAGGUAGAAUUCCCGGUGUAGCGGUGAAAUGCGUAGAGAUCGGGAGGAAUACCAGUGGCGAAGGCAGCCUUCUGGACUGACACUGACGCUGAGGUGCGAAAGCGUGGGUAGCAAACAGGAUUAGAUACCCGAGUAGUC
This 465-nucleotide ribosomal RNA is filed under the name Vreelandella stevensii. RNAcentral's name for it is "partial 16S ribosomal RNA". It matches the Rfam family "Bacterial small subunit ribosomal RNA", at positions 338 to 795 of the family's 1533-position model. Lineage: Bacteria; Pseudomonadati; Pseudomonadota; Gammaproteobacteria; Oceanospirillales; Halomonadaceae. The record is from RNAcentral.